AAGAGGAUAGCUUAAUGGUAUUAAAGUUUCGGUCUCCAAAACCGAAUAUAAGGGUUCGAAUCCCUUUCCUCUUG
Molecule: transfer RNA, 74 nt
Filed under: Cyanidiococcus yangmingshanensis
Lineage: Eukaryota; Rhodophyta; Bangiophyceae; Cyanidiales; Cyanidiaceae
Description: tRNA-Trp
Rfam family: tRNA
About the family: Transfer RNA (tRNA) molecules are approximately 80 nucleotides in length. Their secondary structure includes four short double-helical elements and three loops (D, anti-codon, and T loops).
Source: RNAcentral